UACGGAGGGUGCAAGCGUUGUUCGGAAUCACUGGGCGUAAAGCGCGUGUAGGCGGUCGAUUAAGUCCGGUGUGAAAGCCCGGGGCUUACCCCCGGAAGUGCGCUGGAAACUAGUCGACUAGAGUAUGGGAGAGGGAAGUGGAAUUCCUGGUGUAGCGGUGAAAUGCGUAGAUAUCAGGAGGAACACCGGCGGCGAAGGCGGCUUCCUGGACCAAUACUGACGCUAAGACGCGAAAGCGUGGGGAGCAAACAGG
RNAcentral lists this ribosomal RNA (253 nucleotides) under uncultured bacterium. RNAcentral's name for it is "partial 16S ribosomal RNA". It matches the Rfam family "Bacterial small subunit ribosomal RNA", at positions 524 to 776 of the family's 1533-position model. The record is from RNAcentral.